RNAcentral lists this ribosomal RNA (386 nucleotides) under Rana chensinensis (Chinese brown frog). Its description in RNAcentral is "partial 12S ribosomal RNA". It matches the Rfam family "Bacterial small subunit ribosomal RNA", at positions 794 to 1394 of the family's 1533-position model. Lineage: Eukaryota; Metazoa; Chordata; Amphibia; Anura; Ranidae. The record is from RNAcentral.
GCCUAGCCGUAAACAAUUAACUUACACCUACACCGCCAGGGGAUUACGAGCAAUGCUUAAAACCCAAAGGAUUUGACGGUGUCCCACCCCUACUAGAGGAGCCUGUUCUGUAAUCGAUAAUCCCCGCUUCACCUAACCAUCCCUCGCCUCCAGUCUGUAUACCUCCGUCGAAAGCUUACCAUGUGAACGCCCGCAGUAGGCUUAAUGAUCCACCAUCAGUACGUCAGGUCAAGGUGCAGCUUAAGAGAUGGCAAGCAAUGGGCUACAAUUUCUAAUUUAGAACAAACGAAAGACUAUGUGAAACCCUAGUCAUGAAGGUGGAUUUAGUAGUAAAAAGAAAGCAGAGUGUUCUUUUUAACCCGGCUCUGGGACGCGUACACACCGCC